RNAcentral lists this ribosomal RNA (1490 nucleotides) under Lacticaseibacillus paracasei. Its description in RNAcentral is "bacterial SSU rRNA". It matches the Rfam family "Bacterial small subunit ribosomal RNA". The record is from RNAcentral. Lineage: Bacteria; Bacillati; Bacillota; Bacilli; Lactobacillales; Lactobacillaceae.
GAUGAACGCUGGCGGCGUGCCUAAUACAUGCAAGUCGAACGAGUUCUCGUUGAUGAUUGGUGCUUGCACCGAGAUUCAACAUGGAACGAGUGGCGGACGGGUGAGUAACACGUGGGUAACCUGCCCUUAAGUGGGGGAUAACAUUUGGAAACAGAUGCUAAUACCGCAUAGAUCCAAGAACCGCAUGGUUCUUGGCUGAAAGAUGGCGUAAGCUAUCGCUUUUGGAUGGACCCGCGGCGUAUUAGCUAGUUGGUGAGGUAAUGGCUCACCAAGGCGAUGAUACGUAGCCGAACUGAGAGGUUGAUCGGCCACAUUGGGACUGAGACACGGCCCAAACUCCUACGGGAGGCAGCAGUAGGGAAUCUUCCACAAUGGACGCAAGUCUGAUGGAGCAACGCCGCGUGAGUGAAGAAGGCUUUCGGGUCGUAAAACUCUGUUGUUGGAGAAGAAUGGUCGGCAGAGUAACUGUUGUCGGCGUGACGGUAUCCAACCAGAAAGCCACGGCUAACUACGUGCCAGCAGCCGCGGUAAUACGUAGGUGGCAAGCGUUAUCCGGAUUUAUUGGGCGUAAAGCGAGCGCAGGCGGUUUUUUAAGUCUGAUGUGAAAGCCCUCGGCUUAACCGAGGAAGCGCAUCGGAAACUGGGAAACUUGAGUGCAGAAGAGGACAGUGGAACUCCGUGUAGCGGUGAAAUGCGUAGAUAUAUGGAAGAACACCAGUGGCGAAGGCGGCUGUCUGGUCUGUAACUGACGCUGAGGCUCGAAAGCAUGGGUAGCGAACAGGAUUAGAUACCCUGGUAGUCCAUGCCGUAAACGAUGAAUGCUAGGUGUUGGAGGGUUUCCGCCCUUCAGUGCCGCAGCUAACGCAUUAAGCAUUCCGCCUGGGGAGUACGACCGCAAGGUUGAAACUCAAAGGAAUUGACGGGGGCCCGCACAAGCGGUGGAGCAUGUGGUUUAAUUCGAAGCAACGCGAAGAACCUUACCAGGUCUUGACAUCUUUUGAUCACCUGAGAGAUCAGGUUUCCCCUUCGGGGGCAAAAUGACAGGUGGUGCAUGGUUGUCGUCAGCUCGUGUCGUGAGAUGUUGGGUUAAGUCCCGCAACGAGCGCAACCCUUAUGACUAGUUGCCAGCAUUUAGUUGGGUACUCUAGUAAGACUGCCGGUGACAAACCGGAGGAAGGUGGGGAUGACGUCAAAUCAUCAUGCCCCUUAUGACCUGGGCUACACACGUGCUACAAUGGAUGGUACAACGAGUUGCGAGACCGCGAGGUCAAGCUAAUCUCUUAAAGCCAUUCUCAGUUCGGACUGUAGGCUGCAACUCGCCUACACGAAGUCGGAAUCGCUAGUAAUCGCGGAUCAGCACGCCGCGGUGAAUACGUUCCCGGGCCUUGUACACACCGCCCGUCACACCAUGAGAGUUUGUAACACCCGAAGCCGGUGGCGUAACCCUUUUAGGGAGCGAGCCGUCUAAGGUGGGACAAAUGAUUAGGGUG